GGGGAAUUAGCUCAGGUGGUAGAGCGCUCGCUUAGCAUGCGAGAGGUGGUGGGAUCGAUGCCCACAUUCUCCA
Transfer RNA from Oryctolagus cuniculus (rabbit), 73 nucleotides. It matches the Rfam family "tRNA". Rfam says of the family: Transfer RNA (tRNA) molecules are approximately 80 nucleotides in length. Their secondary structure includes four short double-helical elements and three loops (D, anti-codon, and T loops). The record is from Rfam. Lineage: Eukaryota; Metazoa; Chordata; Mammalia; Lagomorpha; Leporidae.